Molecule: transfer RNA, 70 nt
Filed under: Dipodomys ordii (Ord's kangaroo rat)
Lineage: Eukaryota; Metazoa; Chordata; Mammalia; Rodentia; Heteromyidae
Rfam family: tRNA
About the family: Transfer RNA (tRNA) molecules are approximately 80 nucleotides in length.
Source: Rfam by way of RNAcentral
GGGAAGGUGGCUCAGUGGUAGAGUGCUUGCCUCGCGUGCACGAGGCCCUGGGUUUGAUUCCUCAGCCCCA